This 254-nucleotide ribosomal RNA is filed under the name uncultured bacterium. RNAcentral's name for it is "partial 16S ribosomal RNA". It matches the Rfam family "Bacterial small subunit ribosomal RNA", at positions 524 to 776 of the family's 1533-position model. The record is from RNAcentral.
UACGUAGGGACCAAGCGUUGUUCGGAUUUACUGGGCGUAAAGGGCGCGUAGGCGGCAUGACAAGUCACUUGUGAAAUCUCUGGGCUUAACCCUGAACGGCCAAGUGAUACUGUCGCGCUAGAGUGCGGAAGGGGCAAUCGGAAUUCUCGGUGUAGCGGUGAAAUGCGUAGAUAUCGAGAGGAACACCUGAGGUGAAGACGGGUUGCUGGGCCGACACUGACGCUGAGUGCGCGAAAGCCAGGGGAGCAAACGGG